UACGGAGGGUGCAAGCGUUAUCCGGCUUCACUGGGUUUAAAGGGUGCGUAGGCGGAUAGGUAAGUCCGUGGUGAAAUCCUGCAGCUUAACUGCAGAACUGCCGUGGAUACUAUCUAUCUUGAAUGUCGUGGAGGUUAGCGGAAUAUGUCAUGUAGCGGUGAAAUGCUUAGAUAUGACAUAGAACACCCAUUGCGAAGGCAGCUAACUACGCGAUAAUUGACGCUGAUGCACGAAAGCGUGGGGAUCAAACAGG
Molecule: ribosomal RNA, 253 nt
Filed under: uncultured bacterium
Lineage: Bacteria
Description: partial 16S ribosomal RNA
Rfam family: Bacterial small subunit ribosomal RNA
Source: RNAcentral